Molecule: ribosomal RNA, 468 nt
Filed under: uncultured bacterium
Lineage: Bacteria
Description: partial 16S ribosomal RNA
Rfam family: Bacterial small subunit ribosomal RNA
Source: RNAcentral
GACGAACGCUGGCGGCGUGCUUAACACAUGCAAGUCGAGCGGAAAGGCCCUGCUUUUGUGGGGUGCUCGAGUGGCGAACGGGUGAGUAACACGUGAGUAACCUGCCCUUGACUUUGGGAUAACUUCAGGAAACUGGGGCUAAUACCGGAUAGGAGCUCCUGCUGCAUGGUGGGGGUUGGAAAGUUUCGGCGGUUGGGGAUGGACUCGCGGCUUAUCAGCUUGUUGGUGGGGUAGUGGCCUACCAAGGCUUUGACGGGUAGCCGGCCUGAGAGGGUGACCGGCCACAUUGGGACUGGGAUACGGCCCAGACUCCUACGGGAGGCAGCAGUGGGGAAUAUUGCACAAUGGGCGGAAGCCUGAUGCAGCAACGCCGCGUGCGGGAUGACGGCCUUCGGGUUGUAAACCGCUUUCGCCUGUGACGAAGCGUGAGUGACGGUAAUGGGUAAAGAAGCACCGGCUAACUACGUG